AGUGAACGCUGGCGGUAGGCCUAACACAUGCAAGUCGAACGGCAGCACAGUAAGAGCUUGCUCUUACGGGUGGCGAGUGGCGGACGGGUGAGGAAUACAUCGGAAUCUACUUUUUCGUGGGGGAUAACGUAGGGAAACUUACGCUAAUACCGCAUACGACCUACGGGUGAAAGCAGGGGAUCUUCGGACCUUGCGCGAUUGAAUUAGCCGAUGUCGGAUUAGCUAGUUGGCGGGGUAAAGGCCCACCAAGGCGACGAUCCGUAGCUGGUCUGAGAGGAUGAUCAGCCAAACUGGAACUGAGACACGGUCCAGACUCCUACGGGAGGCAGCAGUGGGGAAUAUUGGACAAUGGGCGCAAGCCUGAUCCAGCCAUACCGCGUGGGUGAAGAAGGCCUUCGGGUUGUAAAGCCCUUUUGUUGGGAAAGAAAAGCAGCAGGUUAAUACCCCGCUGUUCUGACGGUACCCAAAGAAUAAGCACCGGCUAACUUCGUG
Molecule: ribosomal RNA, 492 nt
Filed under: uncultured bacterium
Lineage: Bacteria
Description: partial 16S ribosomal RNA
Rfam family: Bacterial small subunit ribosomal RNA
Source: RNAcentral